RNAcentral lists this ribosomal RNA (104 nucleotides) under Pteropus alecto (black flying fox). Lineage: Eukaryota; Metazoa; Chordata; Mammalia; Chiroptera; Pteropodidae. The record is from RNAcentral.
GUCUAUGGCCAUGCCACCCUGAACAAGCCCAAUCCUGUCUGAUCUAGGAAGCUAAGCAGGGUUGGGCCUGGGAGACUAUCUAGGCAGAUCAGGUGCUGUAGGCA